CUAGCUGUUCGCUUUUAAAUUGGCACUUUGAGUUGAGGGCGGAGCGUGAAUUAAGUAAAGGCUUAUUUGUUCCUGAAUGUUUCAUUUUUAUUAACCAAAACCAACAUUUAUCAUACUUGCAACUAAGACCUCGAAUGUUUGGAAAAGACGAUGUCGACAAAGCGGAGUUUUUUAAUGAAAUAAAAGACAUUUGCAAGUGCUGGCUUACACCCGGGGAAUUGUCAGUAAAUAAGGCGCCAGGAGGUUGUGCAAGCACUAGAAAUGACGAGCAUGGAGAGGUCAAUCUUGGUAGUCAGGUCUGGUAGAGCAAUCUCAAAUUAUCAUAUAGAAAUGUUAUGAUUUCGGUAUUGAUCAAAAGGUGCUGGGACCUUAGGGGAUACAUUAGUGCCAUGUUCUAUUGCGGAACGGUCGUAUCCUGGUAACCUAGCCCCCGUAAGAGCUCUACCUAAUCGUCGACAUAAUGGGUAGAAGGCAGGCUGUGCUUAUUUCUCGGCAAAUAGCUGAGUCGACACCUCGAGGUGCCAACUCAGCUCUUCGUAGAUAAAAACAAGUGUUCAGUGGAUCAAACCCUGUAUUAAUGGUUCUGGCAGGCUGCUGGCGUGGGACUUCUUUCGCUAGAAACACUACAACAAUAGAAGCACCCUUCUAGAGAUAAGAAUAGCAAAUGUUUUGAGGCACUGAUGGAAGCAUGCCAAGGUGAAGUUGACGAUCUCUUUAGCGUUUAUCCUUCUCUUUAUCUUGCCCUGUGUGCUCAUGCUGUGAGUGCC
Molecule: unclassified non-coding RNA, 767 nt
Filed under: Zea mays
Lineage: Eukaryota; Viridiplantae; Streptophyta; Magnoliopsida; Poales; Poaceae
Description: misc RNA Zm00001eb436390
Source: RNAcentral